AAUUCUCAACCCCUCCAGUUGUGAUGGGGCUUGGAUAUGGGGGCUUGCGGGUCUUUACUGAUGUAAAGGUCAGCUCUCCUGAAAUACAUUAGCGGAACCGUUUGCAGUCCCGUCACUGGUGUGAUAAUUAUCUACGCUGUGAUGGAUUGCUCUCUGACUAGUUCAGCUGCUAAUCGUCCGUUAUGGACAAUGUUUAAUGAACUUC
This 205-nucleotide unclassified non-coding RNA is filed under the name uncultured Lycoperdon. RNAcentral describes it as "sequence contains ITS2". Lineage: Eukaryota; Fungi; Basidiomycota; Agaricomycetes; Agaricales; Lycoperdaceae. The record is from RNAcentral.